GGUCGUAUAGCUCAGUCGAUCGGUAGAGCACAGUGCUAAUAACGCUGCGGUUCAGGGUUCGAGCCCCUGUAUGACCA
Transfer RNA from Phytophthora infestans T30-4, 77 nucleotides. It matches the Rfam family "tRNA". From Rfam's summary of the family: Transfer RNA (tRNA) molecules are approximately 80 nucleotides in length. Their secondary structure includes four short double-helical elements and three loops (D, anti-codon, and T loops). Further hydrogen bonds mediate the characteristic L-shaped molecular structure. tRNAs have two regions of fundamental functional importance: the anti-codon, which is responsible for specific mRNA codon recognition, and the 3' end, to which the tRNAs corresponding amino acid is attached (by aminoacyl-tRNA synthetases). tRNAs cope with the degeneracy of the genetic code in two manners: having more than one tRNA (with a specific anti-codon) for a particular amino acid; and 'wobble' base-pairing, i.e. permitting non-standard base-pairing at the 3rd anti-codon position. The record is from Rfam. Lineage: Eukaryota; Oomycota; Peronosporomycetes; Peronosporales; Peronosporaceae.